GCAGGCGCGCGCGCAUCCGGCGGUUCGACUCACCGGGAACCCACGCAGGAAGCUGAGGAGGAGAACAGACGCCUCUGAGCCACUCGCCAGGCCACUUGAACGUGAGACCGCCGAGUGCGACCCUGAGGCCGAGUGCGUGCGGGACUGGGCGACAGCUCCGCCAGGCGGGAUUUUGUCUGUUUCACCCCUUGAGAUUUAUUUUAUCUACAUGGAGUUGACAAGGCAACAUUUAAUAAAAGAUCACUCAUACUCCAGUGCACCACAGGAUUAACUUUGUCAGAAAUCAAAAACAGUGGGUCUUGCUGCAUUGCCCAGGCUGGACUUGAACUCCCAGGCUCAAGCAGUUCUCCUGCCUCAGCCUCCUGAGUAGCUGGGACUGUGGAUGCAUGUCACCAUGCCUGGCUUAUAUUUGAUAUUUUAUAUUGACCUAUGUUUAGCCACAUUGCUAAAUUCACUAUUUAAUUUUAAUAGGUUUUGUGUAGACUUAGAUUUUCCAUAUAUGCAAUCAUGACAUUUGUGAAUAAUGAAGAGUUUCAUUUCUUUUCCAGUCCCACACCUUAAGUUUUUUUACCUUAUUGUGCUAGGUGGAACUUCAAGUACAUUUAUGUAUGUAACUAUUAGUUUUAUUGGGGUAUCAAUAAAAGUACAAUAAAUUAGGUACAAUUUGAUAAGUUUUGACAUACACACUUGAAAAACCAUUACCACAGUAAAAACAAACAAACAAGCAAAAAAACUAAACAUGUCUAUCACCUCCUACUCUUUUCUCUAUAAUCAGUCCCACCCGCUCCAAGCCCCAGAUACCAUUGGUAUGCUUUGUCACUUAGAUUAGUUUGGAUUUUCUAAAACUUUAUGUAAAUAGAAUAAUACAGUAUGUAUUAUUUGUGGUCUAGAUUCUGUCACUCAGCAUAAUUAUUUUGAAUUUCACGUUUUUGCAUACAUUAGUAGUUCAUUUUCAUAUUACUGAGUGGUGUUAUAUUGAAUACAAAUAUUACAAUUUGUUUAUCCAUUCACUUGCUGAUGGAUAUUUGGGUUGUUUCCAGUUUUAGCUAUUUCAAAUAAAAAUAAUGAGAACAUUUAUUUACAAGUCUUCAUAUGGAUGUAUGCCUUAUUUUUUCUUAAGUAAAUACCUAGAAGUGGCUAAAUCAUCUGAUAGAUGUGUAUUUAGCAUAAGAAAUUGUCAAACUGUUUUCCAAAGUGGCUUACCAUUUCACAUUCCCACCAGCAGUGUGUAAGAGUUCCACUUCUUGACCAGGCGCAGUGGCUCAUGCCUGUAAUCCCAACACU
This is a long non-coding RNA of Pongo pygmaeus (Bornean orangutan), 1284 nucleotides long. RefSeq lists it as uncharacterized. NCBI's taxonomy places the organism in Eukaryota, Metazoa, Chordata, Mammalia, Primates, Hominidae. The transcript has 3 exons. The record is from RefSeq and is a predicted model, not a curated record.